UGAGGAAUAUUGGGCAAUGCCCGAAAGGGUGACCCAGCAACGCCGCGUGGAGGAUGAAGGUCGUAAGAUUGUAAACUCCUGUUAGAGGGGAAGAAUAACUAAGUUUGGAGCUUAGUAUGACUGUACCCUCAGAGAAAGCCCCGGCUAACUACGUGCCAGCAGCCGCGGUAAUACGUAGGGGGCGAGCGUUAUCCGGAAUUAUUGGGUUUAAAGGGUGCGUAGGCGGACUAAUAAGUCAGUGGUGAAAGCCUGCAGCUUAACUGCAGAAUUGCCAUGGAUACUGUUAGUCUUGAGUUCAGUUGAGGUAGGCGGAAUGUGUCAUGUAGCGGUGAAAUGCUUAGAUAUGACACAGAACACCGAUUGCGAAGGCAGCUUGCUAAGCUGUAACUGACGCUGAGGCACGAAAGCGUGGGGAGCAAAC
RNAcentral lists this ribosomal RNA (421 nucleotides) under uncultured bacterium. Its description in RNAcentral is "bacterial SSU rRNA". It matches the Rfam family "Bacterial small subunit ribosomal RNA", at positions 355 to 773 of the family's 1533-position model. The record is from RNAcentral.